CGCCCCCCGCGCUUGGCGCUGGGCCGCCGCGGCUCGGUUGUCCGGGGAGGUGCGGGGCGCCGCUGGCGUGGGCGUCCGAACGAGAGAGGAGGGGGAGGGGGACACGGAGAGAAAAGUUGUCACAGCUCUAGUGUGAGGUGAAGAGAAAGUUUACAGGACAGAAAACGGUCCCUGAAUCAAUCAUCUGUGAUAGAAAAGGUGUCAUCUUAUGAAAGUACGGGUGCUUUUCCAUCAUUACAGCUCUCCAGAACAUUUUAAAAGACCACCUCAUGAACAGUUUGCAAAGGGAACCUGGCCAGUACAUUGUACAGAAGACUCCAGACUUCCUGGCUCCUACCCAGCCCCAAGCAGUUUAACUUGAGAAGGAAAGACCAGGGAGGUUCACUUUUUAGCCAAGAGAUCAUGCCCGACACUUUGACCAUGGAAAGAGUUUGUCUACAAAUACUUAUAAUGAUGAUUAUAAUAAUGCUGCUGAUAAUGAUGAUAGUAUAUUAUGCCAAUCAUGUUUUUUCACAUUUGAGAAGCUGAGUACAGCCCAUUUACUCUCUUGCUCUUUAUCACUCUUUUUUUUUUUUUUUUUAAGUAAUACCCCUUGAGGCUCGGGAGACAGACUGAAAGGCAGAGGCUCAGUUAAUGCCCUCAAUUAAGAACUACAUCUCCGAGAAAGAGAAUGCCCUUGAGCUAAAAAUGUAAUUCUUGGCCUGCAGUAUCCUGGCAGAGAUUAGAGCAGACAUCUGUUCCUGCACAUGGCUCUCUGUUGACAGCUGUGUGAUGCUCACCGAAACAAGCCUUGAACUGCUCUGCUUCGCCAUCUCAACAGGUUAACUGGAACUGAGGAUUUUGUAAUACAGCUUUACGUCUGUGCAAAUGCUGUGUCCUUUAAGUUUGAGUGGCUUUGUAAACAGUGAGUAGAUGUUAGGUCCCCUGGAUUUGGGGUCAGACGAUCAGUUCUGCCACUUGACAUGUGUGUGCCCCUGUAUGUGUCCUUCCUUGUAAUAAGGAAAUAUCAACAAUGCUUCCCACACUGACUUGUUUGGAGGAUUGAGGUAAUCAUAUGCAUAAAGGAUUUAGCAUAAUCUGUAACAAAUAAUAAGUGCUGAAAAGAUAUUAGUUGUUUUAAUUAUAUUCAUACUCAUUGUUUCAAGCAAGAAUGAUUCCACAGUCAUAGAUAGUUCUGUGAAGAGUCCAACUACAGCUCUCUUGUACAGCUAAGACUUUCUGUCUGUUGUUUAAAAUAAAGUACGGUUUGUUCAACAAUAUCAUCUGUUAUACAAAAGUCAUUGUAAAAAAUCAAAUAAAUACUUAUAAUAAAUGUAUGUAUCGGGGUAUAGAUAUAACUUCAUGUUAACUUGCGACUUUUUAUUUUAUUAUUUUCUUUGAAAUAUGGGAAGGUGAGAAUGAAGAGACACUGUGGAAUUGGACCAAGAUAAAUAUGGUUUUGGUUUCUGAAGCAGGAGAUUCUGGGAAGGCGAUGACUGGAAAAGAGCUCUCUUCCCUCUACCACCAAAUCCUCUGUGUCUAUUCCUCCUGAGUCAAAUGGAUGCUCAUGUCUACAUGGAGUCUGUGUGCCAGUGAGCCAUUGUGUUCCACAGUGGCCAUGGUGUGGACAGCUAACGCACAAUCAUGAACUCUUGCACUAGGUGAGUCCCUGAAGCCAGAGUUCAUGUAGUAAAGCCAAGAAGAAACUGAAUCAUGCACAGAUCCCUCCUCUUCAUGUGGAAGAGAAUAGGAAGAGAAUGGGUGGAGAGGUUUUCUUGAGGUACUUCAAUAAAGAGAGGUUGAUUUGCUUGCUAUUAUUCUAGCAGUCUUUUCAGAGUAGAAGCCACAGACCUCACAUGACCCAUAUGAUCCAGCAACCCUGGUCUCAUCUCCCAUUCGUCUCUCACGUGCUUGCUUUCACUCCAGUUACACUAGACUCUUUCUGACCCUUAAAUGUCAGAGUCACACUCCCACCCCAGGAUCUUUGCAAUUAUUACACCCUCUGUCUUUCUCAAAUACUAGGCAAUAUACUUAUUUUAAAUUAUUAUAUUUGUGGACACAUUUAUAAAUUUAUUUUCUGCCUCUCCCAAGCCAUAUUUUCUUUAUCAGUCCUAGAAAAGGAAAGAGUUAAAAAAAAAAAUGAAAUGCUGUGCACAAUAGAGACAACUUUGGAAUUUAAGAAUAAAUUUAAUAAGAAA
Zalophus californianus (California sea lion) is the source of this 2177-nucleotide long non-coding RNA. The record is from Ensembl. NCBI's taxonomy places the organism in Eukaryota, Metazoa, Chordata, Mammalia, Carnivora, Otariidae.